AACGCAAAUUGCACUUUCUGGUAUUCCGGAAAGUAUGCCUGUUUGAGGGUCAGUUAAAUAAAAAUCGGUGUUGUUGCUGCUUUUCGUGGUGACGCGUCGGAAUUGAGUUGUCUUACCUUCGGUUAAGUGACUUAAAAUUUUGCAUGAUUUUCGAACGUAUUUAAAUUUCUUACGUACGUUUGAGAUAUCGAAUACUUUAUUAGGUUCGGUCAUCCUCAUGAUUCGCACCUAUAAUUUUUCAUUAAAUGACCUCAAAUCAGGUAAGAAUACCCGCUGAACUUAA
Molecule: unclassified non-coding RNA, 283 nt
Filed under: uncultured Glomeraceae
Lineage: Eukaryota; Fungi; Glomeromycota; Glomeromycetes; Glomerales; Glomeraceae
Description: sequence contains ITS2
Rfam family: 5.8S ribosomal RNA (bases 1-52)
Source: RNAcentral